This 460-nucleotide ribosomal RNA is filed under the name uncultured bacterium. RNAcentral describes it as "partial 16S ribosomal RNA". It matches the Rfam family "Bacterial small subunit ribosomal RNA", at positions 338 to 795 of the family's 1533-position model. The record is from RNAcentral.
CCUACGGGAGGCUGCAGUGAGGAAUAUUGGUCAAUGGGCGCGAGCCUGAACCAGCCAAGUAGCGUGAAGGAUGACUGCCCUACGGGUUGUAAACUUCUUUUAUAAAGGAAUAAAGUGAGGCACGUGUGCCUUUUUGUAUGUACUUUAUGAAUAAGGAUCGGCUAACUCCGUGCCAGCAGCCGAGGUAAUACGGAGGAUCCGAGCGUUAUCCGGAUAUAUUGGGUUUAAAGGGAGCGUAGAUGGGUUGUUAAGUCAGUUGGGAAAGUGUGCGGCUCAAACGUAAAAUUGCAAUUGAUACUGGCAGACUUGAGUGCAGUAGAGGUGGGUGGAAUUCGUGGUGUAGCGGUGAAAUGCUUAGAUAUCACGAAGAACACCGGUUGCGAAGGCAGCUUACUAAACUGCCACUGACAUUGAUGCACGAAAGUGUGGGUAUCAAACAGGAUUAGAUACCCGGGUAGUC